CGAAUAUUGAAUAUCGAAUACUUAUCAACAAGAAUUCUUCCACCGUAUUGUGCCGCCGGACUGCGUCUGUUCCUAUUUACUGCUCUGCACCGAUCCUGAUGACUCCAGCCAUACACACAUAGUUCCCUAGCUGCGUGGUUCUGAUUGGGCCGUCGUGCUGGAUUCCUGACCUCAUCAUCUCCUCGUUCCUCGUUCGCAUUUCUCGCAUUUCUCGCAUUUCUCGCAUUUCUCCUUCAACCCCCAUUCAACCUCGCAACAUCUCCAGCUUCAACCUGCCAUGGUCCGUCCAACUCCUCUCCCAGCCCGUUGACGUUGUUGCCUCCGUAUGGUGUAUCUACAAAUCCAUUCGUGAUCUCUCUUGGAGAGAGACUUCUCAGCCACCCAACUCAAAACUCCAACUUCACCCCUCAUGGUCAACCGCCGCUCUUUCUAUUCCGCGCCUGAAUGAAAUCCAAGGCCGAUUCGUCCUUAGAGCACAGAUAACAUAGAUUGCUAUCCGUAACUGGCCCUGUUGCAUUAUAUCUGCUCCUCCCGGAGACCCUCCUGCCCAAUUAUAGUGGUCCGAUCCUCGGCUCUGGCUCCAUCUCUCUCUUGUCCUCUGGUUCAGUUUAUUUCAUUUGAGGGAAUAAAAAAAAACAGAGAACCAACAACAAACUCUUCCUCUCGAUUUGAUUUGUGACUGGUUCUGACGUCGCACACCGAGGCAAUCCAGCGGCGUCUGGCGGUGUCCAAAGCCGUGUGUGAAUCUGUGGCUUCCUACGCGUCCAACCUCCGGCCCAUACAUGCCAGUACAAAGCAAACCAUUGAUCUGGAUCUUACGGUCAGCACUUUUGGCGCAAAAUGCAGGGCUCCAGUCGUUUGCACCCGCAUCCACGUUCUCCAAACGCCAAGCCGCGGCCGCAAUCGCAUGCCAAGGCUGGACAGCUUUCCAGCAACAAGUUUCGUGAUGAGAAGCCACGGUUAUUGCUAAUGGGUCUCCGUCGGAGCGGCAAAUCCUCCAUCUCGAGUGUCGUCUUUCACAAAAUGCCCCCAACAGAAACGUUAUUCCUCGAAUCGACAACUCGCAUCCACAAGGACUCAGUCCACUCUUUCAUGGACUUUCAGGUUUGGGAUUUCCCUGGUCAGUUGGAAUAUCUCGAGCCAUCCUUCGAUCUGGAAGAUAUCUUCGGUACUCUAGGCGCAUUGGUAUGGGUUAUCGAUGCCCAGGAUGACUAUCUAGAAGCCGUCUCGAGGCUAAACAGAACCAUACUCCUUGUCCAACAAUACUAUCCUCACAUCAAUAUCGAAAUCUUCAUCCACAAGGUCGACGGCCUAUCUGAUGAAUACCGCUCUGACACGUUCCAAGAUAUCGUUCAACUCAUAUCAGAUGAGCUCAACGAUGCUGGCUAUGAGAACGCGCCUGUACAUUAUUACCUCACGUCGAUAUACGACUACUCCGUUUUCGAAGCUUUCAGCAAAGUGAUUCAGAAACUCAUCCCGCAACUUUCCGCUCUCGAAAACCUCAUCAAUAUUCUGGCCAACAACUCCGGCAUGGAGAAGAUCUACCUGUUCGACGUGCUCAGUAAGAUUUACAUCGCGUCGGACACAAAGCCCGUAGACAUGGCCUGCUACGAAAUGUGCUCAGAUUAUAUAGACGUUAUCGUCGAUGUGAGCGAGCUGUAUUCGUGGGAACACCCUGAGCGCAAACCCAAAGGUCCGCAAAUCCCUGAAGCGGAGAGUCAUAUAAUUUUGCAUGAUAAGAGGAUGAUCCAUCUUAUGGAGAUGAAUAAGUAUUUAUGUCUCGUUUCCGUGAUUAGGAAUGCAGACGCAAGUGAGAAAAAGGGCCUUAUCGAUAUGAACUGCCGCACGUUCCAGUCCGCACUGAAUGAAGUCUUUGCGAAAACCUGGGAGCAGAAGUCGUGAAAAACUCCUAAGGGAUAGAGGAAGAAAGAAUUUAUCCUCAGAACAUACCCCCUCCUCCACGCAUGCAUUCAUUAUGUGAUUCAACCGGUCCGAUAGGGGACUUUUGGGCACUUACCUUCAAUUGUCGAAUUAGUUAUGCCGAUUGAUCCCUUCUAACAGUUUUCCCCUUCUCGUUGCUUUUGCGCUCCUUGUAUGACUUUUGUCGAGUGAGAUACUUGCUCCAUGGGGUGGCCUUUAUUUACCGAUGUUUUUCCACUAACGGGAGGGUAUAACCGGGAGACAGGGGGUACUAGUAGUUUGGGAUAAGUUUUAAAAACCUCAAUGCAGCUCCGAAAGCGGAAAAAUGGCAGAAGCCGUUUCCCUUGUUGCAUCAUAAUGUAUUGAUCAGGAGACUAUAUAUAUAACAUAUAUACUAUAUGUAUAAUAUAAUCGCCCGGAUUAUUGAGGUUAUUGACAAUAAUAAAUUCAGGGGCCUAGAUGAAUAUAACACAUUUUCAAAGAGCAUAUCUCCAUGCUCAAACCAAAGAGGUGUCAGGCAUAGGCUGAUGAAUCACGCAAUGACUGCCGACUUUGUGCUCGGCGAUCCAGUUGACAAUAUCUGGCCAACGCUGGAUGAACAAUAGCGGUGUGUCAACCAGAGAACGGCUUGCAGGUCAUUUAAGGCCCGUUAGAUCAUGCACGCAGCCCCUAUAUAAAUUGGGAUUGGACGUGUCAAUCGCAAGCCUUCGCGCGACCCCUACGAAAGUAUUGGGAUCAGUUU
This 2662-nucleotide small RNA is filed under the name Histoplasma capsulatum. RNAcentral's name for it is "hypothetical RNA". Lineage: Eukaryota; Fungi; Ascomycota; Eurotiomycetes; Onygenales; Ajellomycetaceae. The record is from RNAcentral.